This 5676-nucleotide long non-coding RNA is filed under the name Malus domestica (apple). Its description in RNAcentral is "long non-coding RNA (MDOM_LNC007803)". Lineage: Eukaryota; Viridiplantae; Streptophyta; Magnoliopsida; Rosales; Rosaceae. The record is from RNAcentral.
UACUGGUUACCAACUCUUUCCUUAUUUGAUCAUUUAUUAUAACUGUCUCGUAAUAGUCUUUCCUUGUUGAAAUUUUUUUAUGUUUGCUGUAUAGCUAGACAAACAUUAUAUUUGGGGAAGCUUUGCGACUUAUUGUUGCCCAGUCAAAGAAAUAAGAAGAAAGGUUGGUUGCAUGGAAAUUACAUACCCCAUAUAACGUGUACCCCAAGCAACCACUGCCAGGGCCUCGUCUGUCCAGUCCAAGAUCCAGUCCAAUUCGCAACAGAAUUCCAGAAAUAACCACCACCAUUUUUUGUUGAUCAAAGCAAAAAGGUCGAUCGAAAUUAAAGGCACAACACAAAUAGAUAUCCCAAAAGUAGGAGUACAAGUAAAGCAAAUCCAAAUUAAACGGAAAACAUGUAUACCUUAAGUAUUCCAAUUCAGACAUGAGUCGUUAAGAACAUGUAAUAUAGCACGGUGAAAUGAAACGAUAAUUCAACAGCUUCAGAAAUCGGAAAUCAGCAGGAUGAUAUACCAUUGAUCAGAAAUCAGAAGGAUGAUAUAUCAUUGCUCAAAAGGCUGGGAGACCCUGACUUUCCUUAUCUUCAGGGAAGAAGAACUCUUCCCAUGAAUCAGUUUCCCCUUUCUUUUUGUUCCACUCGGCGCAUUCUGAGAUCCUGUGGUCACCAAUCUCAUCACAAAAAGAACACCAAAGGAUAUUAACACGCCGCCUGUAUAUUUCAUAGCCCUUGUCAACUUGAGUUACGCCGAAGGGGAGACGUCUCCUCCAAGGACACUGUUCAGGCGCGUGGCCAAACUUAGUGCAAAUUGGACAGCUAGACGACAAUUCGGAAACUAUGCGUGGCUUGACUAUGAAUUAUACAAUUAUAUAAUACACACGCGUUAUCUUUAAAGAAAAUAUAUGUAUCUAAUAUCCAACAAAUCAAAUAUUAUAUGAGCAAAAGUGCUCUUGUGUUGUUAUUCAUAAUAAGGGUAAAACUGUAAACAGUUAAGGUUGUUAUGGUUGUUUUGUAAUUAGUGAGUGAUGAGUUGAUGAAGGUGUAAUUAGUUAGCUAUCUAAUACUAGUGAGUAACUAGUAUAUAAGGCAUCAGGGUGUAACCUUAUUGAGUUAAUGAAAAUGAAAGGAUAAUUUUCCUAAUAUGGUAUCACUCGCCUAAGUCCUACGAUAGCCGAUCCUCUCCUUCUGCUUCCCGCUUCUUCCUCUUCGAAUCUUCAAACCCUAGAAAUCUCCCGCUUCUUAAUCUUCGAUUCUUCCAACCCUAGUAAUCACCAUGGCUGGAUCUCCUUCUUCUGGAUCUGCUUCUUGUCCUAAUUCUUCUCUCUCCUCGACGACAUCGUCGAUUACGAUCCAAAAUAUUGGAUCUAUGGUGCCGAUCAAGCUCACAUCGACGAACUAUCUCACCUGGAAUGCUCUGUUCGCUCCCAUCCUUCGCCGGUACAAUCUCACCGGAAUCAUUGACGGCACGAUGUCUGCUCCGCCAAAAUAUCUUCUUGACUCCUUGGGUACUCAAACUUCUACUCUCAAUCCUCAGUAUGUUACUUGGUUUGAGAAUGAUCAGAAUAUCUUGAUUUGGAUCAAUUCUACUCUCUCGGAUGCCCUAAUUCCGUACACUGUUGGAGUUAAUUCGGCCCGUGAGCUCUGGUCCAAAUUGGAAUCGCGACUUGCAACGGCUUCGCAAUCGCACGUUCAUGAGCUUCGUUCUCGUCUUCGUAGCAUCAUGAAGGGUGAUUCUCCGGCUGCGCUCUAUCUUCAACAAAUUGAAGAAAUCGCAGAUGCUCUUGCCAAUGCAGGCGCUCCAAUCGAAGAUUCUGAGUUGAUUUCUGUCAUUUUACAUGGUUUGCCCUCUGAGUAUGAGUCUUUCAUUGAUGCAAUCCAAUUUCGCCUGGGUUCAACCACUAUUGAUGAACUUCAUGGGCUGCUUUUGAGUAAAGAGCUUCAAUUGACUGCUCGCAAGAAAACCUCACCUUCUACUCCCGUUCAAGCUUUUAAUGCUUCUGCUGGUCUUCUUCCCACACCUCUUGGUGAUUUUGGUCCGCAAGCAUUCUUUACUCAGAACGGCUCUUCUUCCCAAUCCUAUGGUCCUCCAAAUCGUGGCAAUUUCUCUCAAUCUCGUAAUUACACAAAUCGUGGUUCACAGCGGAAUCAUCAAGGUUUUCAGGGCAAUCAACGAUUCAAUCGCGGGUUUCAGGGUAAUCCUCGUUACAAUCGUGGUCCUCGUUCUCAGUACAACAAUUCUCACAGAAAGAUUUCCUGUCAAAUUUGUCGCCAAUUGGAUCAUGAAGCUAUUGAGUGUCCUCAGCGCAUGAAUCCCAAUUUUGGUAACAAGAACUCUCCAGCUGCUUAUCAUGCCUCUACCUCUCCUACUUGGCUUCUUGAUUCUGGUGCGAGCUCGCACAUGACUCAUUCCUCCACCAAUUUGCAGAAUCCUGAGCCUUACACUGGACCUGAGCAAGUGUAUAUUGGUGAUGGCAAAGGUUUGCCUAUUCUCAAUUCUGGUUCUUCUACACUUAAUACUGGUUCUCAUUGUUUUGAUCUUAACAAUGUCUUGCAUGUUCCUCAUCUUAAGCAAGAUUUGAUUUCCGCAAAUCGGUUUAUUCUUGAUAAUUGGUGUUCUAUUCAUUUGUAUCCUUUUCACUUCAUUGUGAAGGAUCUUUCUUCGGAGAAAACGCUUUUUAAAGGUCCUGUGAGAGCUGGUUUCUAUCCAUUUCAUGCAUCUUCUAUUGCUGGUAAUCAAAAGGCAUUUGCUGCUUCUGCUAAAGCUUCCCCGCAGACUUGGCAUCAUAGAUUGGGUCAUCCUGCUCUCAACAUUCUUCGUAAACUAGCAACUCAUUCUUGUAUUUCAGUUUCCAGUGCUUUAAAUAAAUCUGUGUGCUCCAGUUGUGCUCUAGGCAAGAGUUCCAAGUUGUCUUUUGCUUCUGUUUCUUGUAUAUCCAGUAGGCCUCUAGAGCUCUUGCACACUGAUGUAUGGGGUCCUGCACCACUCAUUUCUGUUAAUGGAUAUCGCUAUUAUCUCAUUUUUGUUGAUGACUACACCAAGUAUACUUGGUUUUUUCCUCUCAAAUCUAAAUCUGAUGUCUUUGAUACAUUUGUGCAAUUCAAAGUGUUGGUGGAAACUUUACUCAGUACUAAGAUUGUUAUCUUGCGAUCUGAUUCUGGUGGGGAAUUUCUGAGUCUUAAGUUUAUCCGGUUUCUUCAAGAACAAGGCAUUUCCCAUCAGUUAAGCUGCCCCCACACACCUGAGAAAAAUGGUUGUGCUGAGCGCAAGCACCGGCAUUUGGUUGAAACUGCUCGCACUCUCCUAGCAGCAUCCAAGGUUCCUCAAUCUUAUUGGGUUGAAGCUUUUGCCACAGCUAUCUAUCUCAUCAAUCGGAUGCCAACAACCACCAACUUCUCACCUUGGGAACUACUAUUUCACAGAUCUCCAGAUUACACCUCACUGAAAAUUUUUGGAUGCCGAUGUUUCCCAUGAUUGAAACCUUAUACAACUUCCAAGCUUGAUCCCAAGAGCAAGGAAUGUGUUUUUUUGGACUACAGUUUAAACCACAAAGGCUAUAAAUGUCUUGAUCCUUCCACUGGCAGAGUGUAUCUUUCAAGGCAUGUUAUUUUUGAUGAAGUUACAUUUCCUUUUGCUCAACAGGAUCAUCCUCCGCCAUCACAUUCCAGCUCUAGUUCUUCUCCUUUGCACCCUUCCAAUCCUAUUCCCACCACUUUAACUUUUCCUUCUCUAUCUCAACCUUCUUCCUCUCUGUCUCCUCUCUUAUCUCCAACUCCCUCUUCACCCUCUCCAUCCCCAUCUCUUCCUGUCCCCUCUUCUACUGCCUUACCUAACCCUCCUCUUUCUGCACCCUCAAUCCCUCUCAAUACUCAUUCCAUGCAAACCAGAUCCAAAUCGGGUAUUUUUAAACCCAAAGCACUUAUGGCAACUAAGUAUCCCCUCUCUUCUAAUCUUUCUCCCGAUUAUACACCUUCUACCUAUCUUUAAGCCUCUAAACAUCCUCAUUGGCGUCAAGCAAUGCAAGACGAAUUUAAUGCUCUCAUUCAAACUGGAACUUGGUCUCUAGUUCCUGCAUCUCCUACUCAGAACUUGGUUGGUGCGAAAUGGGUGUUCCGAAUCAAACGAAAACCGGAUGGUACUAUUGAUAGGUACAAAGCUAGGCUUGUUGCAAAAGGCUUCCAUCAGCAGCACGGUAUUGAUUAUACUGAGACAUUUAGUCCAGUUGCUAAGCCUGUUACUAUUCGGUUACUUCUCACUUUGGCUGCUAAGUUUGAUUGGUUUCUCAAUCAACUUGAUGUCAGCAAUGCUUUUUUGCAUGGUAACUUGACCGAAUCUGUGUUCAUGAUCCAACCACCAGGAUUUGAAGACCCUACCAAGCUAAAUCAUGUUUGUCAUCUCCAUAAAUCUUUGUAUGGGCUCAAGCAAGCCCCCAGGGCCUGGUAUGACAAACUCACCAUUGCAUUGAAGUCUCUGGGUUUCUCAGGUUCCUCAAAUGAUCAUUCUUUAUUUGUCAAGAAGGCUCCUGCGUUGAUCUUCAUUUUGGUCUACGUUGAUGAUAUUAUUGUUACUGGACCGAAUGCUCAACUCUGCCAAGAUGUUAUUUCUCAGCUCAGUUCUUUAUUUCCUGUCAAAGAUCUUGGUCCUCUUCAUUACUUCCUUGGUAUUGAAGUCAAGCGGUCUUCAUCUGGUAUCCUUCUCUUUCAACACAAGUAUAUUCUUGAUCUUCUCUCCAAAGCCCACAUGGAAGGCUCCAAACCUUGUGUCACUCCUCUUAGUACAACUAAAUUGGAUCAUGACUCUUCUCUGCUUGAUAACCCUGAGGAAUAUAGAUCUUUGGUUGGUGGUUUGCAAUACUUAACAUGGACACGGCCAGAUCUGUCUUUUGCAGUUAAUUUGGUUUGUCAAUUUAUGCACUGUCCGAGACAAGCUCAUUUUCAGGCCGUCAAACGCAUUCUCCGAUAUCUAAAGGGUACCCUGUCUCUUGGCUUAUGGUUUCCCAAAUGUCCUAACCCUCUUACUCUUACUGCUUUCUCUGAUGCCGACUGGGCCGGUUGCAGUCUUGAUCGCCGAUCUACUGGGGGGUUUUGUGUCUAUUUGGGUGACUCCCUUAUAAGCUGGAGUGCCAAGAAACAGCCUACUGUGGCUCGGUCAUCGACCGAAGCUGAAUAUCGAUCUUUGGCUAACACUGCAGCUGAACUGACAUGGAUAAGUAAGCUUCUACUUGAUGUUGGUCUUGCUCUUCCUUCUUCCCCUCAGAUUUGGUGUGACAACAUUUCUGCCAUUUCAUUGGCUAAAAAUCCAAUCUUCCAUGCUCGAACCAAGCAUGUGGAGAUUGAUUAUCACUACAUUCGGGAAAGAGUGCUUGCUCAUCAAGUUCAAGUUUUGUUUGUGUGUACUCAAGAUCAGGUUGCUGAUAUAUGCACCAAGGCUCUGUCCAAGCACAGAUUCCAUCUUCUCCGGGACAAACUCUCCCUUCGGCUACCUCAGUUCGGUUUGAGGGGGGAUAAUAAGGGUAAAACUGUAAACAGUUAAGGUUGUUAUGGUUGUUUUGUAAUUAGUGAGUGAUGAGUUGAUGAAGGUGUAAUUAGUUAGCUAUCUAAUACUAGUGAGUAACUAGUAUAUAAGGCAUCAGGGUGUAACCUUAUUGAGUUAAUGAAAAUGAAAGGAUAAUUUUCCUAA